RNAcentral lists this ribosomal RNA (497 nucleotides) under uncultured bacterium. RNAcentral describes it as "partial 16S ribosomal RNA". It matches the Rfam family "Bacterial small subunit ribosomal RNA", at positions 28 to 507 of the family's 1533-position model. The record is from RNAcentral.
GAUGAACGCUGGCGGCGUGCCUAAUACAUGCAAGUCGAGCGAACAGACGAGGAGCUUGCUCCUCUGACGUUAGCGGCGGACGGGUGAGUAACACGUGGAUAACCUACCUAUAAGACUGGGAUAACUUCGGGAAACCGGAGCUAAUACCGGAUAAUAUAUUGAACCGCAUGGUUCAAUAGUGAAAGACGGUUUUGCUGUCACUUAUAGAUGGAUCCGCGCCGCAUUAGCUAGUUGGUAAGGUAACGGCUUACCAAGGCAACGAUGCGUAGCCGACCUGAGAGGGUGGUCGGCCACACUGGAACUGAGCCACGGUCCAGACUCCUACGGUAGGCAGCAGUAGGGAAUCUUCCACAAUGGGCGAAAGCCUGACGGAGCAACGCCGCGUGAGUGAUGAAGGUCUUCGGAUCGUAAAACUCUGUUAUUAGGGAAGAACAAAUGUGUAAGUAACUAUGCACGUCUUGACGGUACCUAAUCAGAAAGCCACGGCUAACUACGUG